AAACAUGUAAAUUUUAAUCCUUAAUUAUUUUUCUUCAAUUUUUGAUAAUUUUCCAAAGUCAAAACAGGGGAACUCGAAUUCAUUCUAACAUUGUCUCACAAAGUUUGUUAUAUCUCACGAUUUACAAUUCCAUUACUAACACUGUUUCUUCUAUGAGAAACUAGACUCAACAAGCUUUAAUUCACCUCACGAUUAAUCAAAAUCC
This 205-nucleotide long non-coding RNA is filed under the name Gossypium raimondii (Peruvian cotton). Its description in RNAcentral is "long non-coding RNA (GRAI_LNC011129)". Lineage: Eukaryota; Viridiplantae; Streptophyta; Magnoliopsida; Malvales; Malvaceae. The record is from RNAcentral.